This 379-nucleotide ribosomal RNA is filed under the name uncultured cyanobacterium. RNAcentral describes it as "bacterial SSU rRNA". It matches the Rfam family "Bacterial small subunit ribosomal RNA", at positions 376 to 770 of the family's 1533-position model. Lineage: Bacteria; Bacillati; Cyanobacteriota. The record is from RNAcentral.
CGAAAGCCUGACGGAGCAAGACCGCGUGGGGGAAGAAGGCUCUUGGGUUGUCAACCCCUUUUCUCAGGGAAGAAGUUCUGACGGUACCUGAGGAAUAAGCAUCGGCUAACUCCGUGCCAGCAGCCGCGGUAAGACGGAGGAUGCAAGCGUUAUCCGGAAUUAUUGGGCGUAAAGCGUCCGCAGGGGGCGCAUCAAGUCUGCUGUCAAAGGUCGGAGCUUAACUCCGGUUCGGCAGUGGAAACUGGUGCGCUAGAGGGCGACAGGGGUAGAGGGAAUUCCCAGUGUAGCGGUGAAAUGCGUAGAGAUUGGGAAGAACACCGGUGGCGAAAGCGCUCUACUGGGUCGCACCUGACCCUCAGGGACGAAAGCUAAGGUAGCG